GUGGGUAGCGGUGAAAUUCCAAUCGAGCCCGGAGAUAGCUGGUUCUCCCCGAAAUAGCUUUAGGGCUAGCCUCAAGGUGAGAGAUACGGAGGUAGAGCACUGAAUGUCCUAGGGGGUAUUGCACCUACCGAAGACUAUCAAACUCCGAAUGCCGUCAUCUUAUCCUUGGGAGUCAGACUGUGGGUGAUAAGAUUCAUAGUCGAAAGGGCAACAGCCCAGAUCGUCAGCUAAGGUCCCUAAAUGUAAGUUAAGUGGUAAAGGAUGUGGGAUUGCACAGACAACCAGGAUGUUGGCUUAGAAGCAGCCACUCAUUCAAAGAGUGCGUAAUAGCUCACUGGUCGAGUGAUCCUGCGCCGAAGAUUUCCGGGGCUAAAACUUACUACCGAAGCUACGGCAUCAGUAAUGAUGGGUAGGGGAGCUUCCCAUACGGGUUGAAGCAUGACCGUAAGGACAUGUGGACAGUAUGGGAGUGAGAAUGUUGGCAUGAGUAGCGAGAUGUGGGUGGGAAUCCCACAGGCCGUAAACCCAAGGUUUCCAGGGGAAGGUUCGUCCGCCCUGGGUUAGUCGGGACCUAAGCUGAGGCCGAAAGGCGUAGGUGAUGGACAACAGGUUGAUAUUCCUGUACUACCGAUAACCGUUUGAGAGAAGGGAUGACACAGUAGGAUAAGCUAAGCACACUGUUGGUUAUGUGUGCCCAAGCAUUGAGG
Molecule: ribosomal RNA, 707 nt
Filed under: Clostridioides difficile
Lineage: Bacteria; Bacillati; Bacillota; Clostridia; Peptostreptococcales; Peptostreptococcaceae
Description: bacterial LSU rRNA
Rfam family: Bacterial large subunit ribosomal RNA
Source: RNAcentral